GAUGAAGAACGCAGCGAAAUGCGAUAAGUAAUGUGAAUUGCAGAAUUCAGUGAAUCAUCGAAUCUUUGAACGCACCUUGCACCCUUUGGCAUUCCGAAGGGUAUGCUCGUUUGAGUGUCAUUGUACUCUCACACUUCCAAUUCUUUGGAUUGGGAGCGGUGGACUUGGGCGCUGCUGCUUUACUGUGGCUCACCUCAAAUGCAUUAGUGCAACCCUUGGUUAGACAUAGUACGGCGUGAUAAGUGUCUUCGCUGGCGCUUCACAUUUAGAGGGUGGCUGAUCAGGGGCUCUGUGCUUCAAACCGUCUUUGGACAAUGGCUGACAACUUGACCUCAAAUCGAGUAGGACUACCCGCUGAACUUAAGCAUAUCAAUAAGCGGAGGA
This 384-nucleotide unclassified non-coding RNA is filed under the name soil metagenome. RNAcentral describes it as "partial contains 5.8S ribosomal RNA, internal transcribed spacer 2, and large subunit ribosomal RNA". The stretch from base 1 to 120 matches the Rfam family "5.8S ribosomal RNA", at positions 35 to 154 of the family's 154-position model. The record is from RNAcentral.